CCUACGGGUGGCAGCAGUGAGGAAUAUUGGUCAAUGGUCGGGAGACUGAACCAGCCAAGCCGCGUGAGGGACGAAGGUACCAAGUAUCGUAAACUUCUUUUGUCAGGGAACAAAGUCGGGCACGUGUACCUGUAUGAGUGUACUUGAAGAAAAAGCAUCGGCUAACUCCGUGCCAUCAGCCGCGGUAAUACGGAGGAUGCGAGCGUUAUCCGGAUUUAUUGGGUUUAAAGGGUGCGUAGGGGGGCUGUUAAGUCAGGGGUCAAAGGCCCGGGCUCAACCCCAGGCGUGCAGUUGAAAUUGGCAGUCUCGAGUUGGAGAGAGGUAUGCGGAAUGCGCGGUGUAGCGGUGAAAUGCUUAGAUAUCGCGCAGAACUCCGAUUGCGAAGGCAGCAUGCCGGCUCCACACUGACGCUGAGGCACGAAAGCGUGGGUAUCGAACAGGAUUAGAUACCCGUGUAGUC
RNAcentral lists this ribosomal RNA (460 nucleotides) under uncultured bacterium. RNAcentral's name for it is "partial 16S ribosomal RNA". It matches the Rfam family "Bacterial small subunit ribosomal RNA", at positions 338 to 795 of the family's 1533-position model. The record is from RNAcentral.